AAUCGUGGAUUGUAAAUUUAACCCCAUGGGCCUAGGGAAGGCCCUAUAACAAUACUUUCGACACAGUUAUUAUCUCCGCUGCCUCCACCAUGUUACACACAGUGCUCACUGCUGAUUCUAAAAUGCGCCACCUAGUCAAAACAGGACAUAUGUUCUUCUAGGAAUACUAGAUCUCUUUCCAAUAUUUCGUCAUUCCACUAUCGUCAUCACCUCAUCAUACUUUCAUUGACAUUACAGGCACACAUCCACAGAGCACUCUUCAAAUCAUCUACACAGUGGUUAUCCAACUAGGAUUAUAAAGGCACACAUUGACAUAGACCAUUGUUGCAAUCAACGACACAGUCGCUAUCCAAGUAGCAUUAUAGAGCUGUCAUGCAACGCAACAACUGUGCUAUCUGCCAUCGCACAUCAACGAAGAAGUGCAGCCGCCCACAUUCCACCUCACGUCUGUCCGACCAGCUGCAAUCCUCGAGGACGCCCCACUGUACCACGAUUUCACUACGAUGUUUGACA
Long non-coding RNA from Lineus longissimus, 513 nucleotides. RefSeq lists it as uncharacterized. Lineage: Eukaryota; Metazoa; Nemertea; Pilidiophora; Heteronemertea; Lineidae. The record is from RefSeq and is a predicted model, not a curated record. The transcript has 3 exons.